Molecule: long non-coding RNA, 1395 nt
Organism: Panicum virgatum (switchgrass)
Lineage: Eukaryota; Viridiplantae; Streptophyta; Magnoliopsida; Poales; Poaceae
Exons: 2
Source: RefSeq, a predicted model, not a curated record
CGAGCCUCACCAUGGCCACGGUCGCGCGAACGUGUCGCGCCGCCAUAAGCCUCGCCACCGCUCGCUUGCCCACCUUGUCGGCACCACCGCGGGCCUGGAACGCCGGUCCUCCCGCGCGCGUCUCGCCGCCCAGCCUCGUCACGUCCGUGACUAGUGCGACUGCCGCGCGGACAUGCCGCGAGCCUAUGCCCAGUCCUGCCCGAGCUCGCCCAACCCGGCCUCACGCACACCGCCCCGCCACCUUAACAUCGCCCGCUACACCCUCAGCCAUGCCUUGCACACACGCACACUUUGGCCACACCGGAUCCGGCCCAGCCACACCCGAUCCUGCUCCCGCUGACGGGCAGGUCCCGCUUGUCAAUGGUGAGAGAGAAAACCGCCCUGCGGGCCCAGCCUGUAAGGGAGAGAGUGAGAGGGAGAAGAUGGGCCAUGGCCCGAUCCAGCGAACUGAGCCGGCCAGACGAGCCGUGGACCAAGCCGGUCCGAGAAGCCGAGCCAAGCUUCUUGGGCCAACCCGAGCCGGCCUUUUCCUCUUUCAGCCCAGUAAACCAAGCCGCCACUCCCUUUUUCCUUUUUACCCAGCUGACAUGCGGGUCCCACGCGUCAGCCUCAGGGUGAGGCUGACAGGUGGGACCACUGACAUGUGGACCACGCUGACCUGGACGUUGACUGUUGACUGGUCAAUGUUGACCAGUCAACGCUGACGUCAGCUUUGACCCCGCUGACGUCAGCAUGAACCGACCCUGCGCUGACGUCAUGGUGAUGUCAGCAGGACACAUGGCAUUCUCCCGUCCUGCCACGUGUCGGCCCUGUGUGUUUUCUUUUUUCGAAAAUCAUUUGUUAAUUUCAGAAAUAGAUUUAGGCUUCAAAAAUUGAUAAUAAAUUAACCGGAGCUCCGAAAAUUAUGAAACCAGUUUCAUAAUUUUUCUAAAAUCAUGAUCUACCCGUUAGAGUAGGUUUUGGUGUGAUUUGGAUCUUAUUUGGAUACUUUUGUGUACUUUUGCACUUUGGCCCCCUUAGUAAUUCGUAUUUACGAAUAGGCCCUUAGCGAGGAGGAGCUGAUCGACGCCCCGGACGCCCAGAGGACCCAGGAGGACGUACCGGACUACGAGAAGACUCCGAAGACCUAGGACGACUACGAGAAGUCUCAGUUUGGUAGAUGCAGGAUCUGACUCGAAGAUCGACGAUGACUUUGAAGGAUGGACUAAGGACGACUCGUGCUCCGCUCAAGUUUGCCUGUGGAUGAAAGAAGAUGUCAAGAUGAAGGAUACCCCAGAAGUCUAGCUACCGCUUCCGUUUUCUGGUUGUUCCCUUUUAGCCCAAUGGGCUUGUACCAGAUGUUUUCGUACCACAAUCCACUGGUUUAUGUAAUAAUUAAACUUUUGUUGUGUUUUA